GGACGAACGCUGGCGGCGUGCCUAAUACAUGCAAGUCGAGCGGACAGAUGGGAGCUUGCUCCCUGAUGUUAGCGGCGGACGGGUGAGUAACACGUGGGUAACCUGCCUGUAAGACUGGGAUAACUCCGGGAAACCGGGGCUAAUACCGGAUGCUUGUUUGAACCGCAUGGUUCAGACAUAAAAGGUGGCUUCGGCUACCACUUACAGAUGGACCCGCGGCGCAUUAGCUAGUUGGUGAGGUAACGGCUCACCAAGGCGACGAUGCGUAGCCGACCUGAGAGGGUGAUCGGCCACACUGGGACUGAGACACGGCCCAGACUCCUACGGGAGGCAGCAGUAGGGAAUCUUCCGCAAUGGACGAAAGUCUGACGGAGCAACGCCGCGUGAGUGAUGAAGGUUUUCGGAUCGUAAAGCUCUGUUGUUAGGGAAGAACAAGUGCCGUUCAAAUAGGGCGGCACCUUGACGGUACCUAACCAGAAAGCCACGGCUAACUACGUGCCAGCAGCCGCGGUAAUACGUAGGUGGCAAGCGUUGUCCGGAAUUAUUGGGCGUAAAGGGCUCGCAGGCGGUUUCUUAAGUCUGAUGUGAAAGCCCCCGGCUCAACCGGGGAGGGUCAUUGGAAACUGGGGAACUUGAGUGCAGAAGAGGAGAGUGGAAUUCCACGUGUAGCGGUGAAAUGCGUAGAGAUGUGGAGGAACACCAGUGGCGAAGGCGACUCUC
Molecule: ribosomal RNA, 720 nt
Filed under: Bacillus sp. (in: firmicutes)
Lineage: Bacteria; Bacillati; Bacillota; Bacilli; Caryophanales; Bacillaceae
Description: bacterial SSU rRNA
Rfam family: Bacterial small subunit ribosomal RNA
Source: RNAcentral